GAAAGGUGGUCUAAUACUUCAUAAUAUCCAUCUCGUAUGGAUUAAAGCUUUAUGCGCUUUGGAGGGGCCUGCGUAACAUUAGCUUGUUGGUGAGGUAAAAGCUCACCAAGGCUUCGAUGUUUAACUGGUUUGAGAGGAUGACCAGUCACACUGGGACUGAGAUACGGCCCAGACUCCUACGGGAGGCAGCAGUAAGGAAUCUUCCACAAUGGGGCAACCUGAUGGAGCAAUACCGCGUGCAGGAUGAAGCGUUUCGGCGUGUAAACUGCUUUUAUCACCGAAGAUUAUGACUGUAGGUGAAGAAUAAGGACCGGCUAACUACGUG
RNAcentral lists this ribosomal RNA (325 nucleotides) under uncultured bacterium. Its description in RNAcentral is "bacterial SSU rRNA". It matches the Rfam family "Bacterial small subunit ribosomal RNA", at positions 153 to 507 of the family's 1533-position model. The record is from RNAcentral.